Molecule: long non-coding RNA, 393 nt
Organism: Drosophila elegans
Lineage: Eukaryota; Metazoa; Arthropoda; Insecta; Diptera; Drosophilidae
Exons: 3
Source: RefSeq, a predicted model, not a curated record
CGGUGGCGAUGGCGAUGGACGGGAUGAGACGGUGGAGCACCAGACAGGAAAAGGGCUUGGCUCGCAUUAGGGUGACAACGAAACUGGGACAGUUGGUACACAGAGUUGGACCUCUACGCGAUCCAUGUCGUCCAUUUCGGAGUUCUUGAUCUGUUGCAGCUUUUCACGGAACUUCUUAGUGAUCUGUUUCCGCUGAUAGUCCGCCUCGAUUUCCUGUUUGGUGCGCGGAAUCCGGAAGCGAAUGCAGCAACAGACCAUAAUCACUAAACGAUCGCAUUAAAAUUCCAAGAACGGCAGCUAUAAUGUGCCACACUCGAAAGCCCCCAAUGGCCUCCUUUUCCAGCCACACUUCGCGUGGGUCGAUGUCAAAGAUGUCCGUAUCGUCGUCCAUUU